GAUGAAGAACGUAGCGAAAUGCGAUACUUGGUGUGAAUUGCAGAAUCCCGUGAACCAUCGAGUCUUUGAACGCAAGUUGCGCCCGAAGCCAUUAGGCCGAGGGCACGCCUGCCUGGGUGUCACACACCGUUACCCUCGCGCCAACGUCCAUCGUUGGCCGCGGCGCGGGGCGUGCGCUGACCUCCCGCGAGCGGGGUCUCGUGGUUGGUUGAAAAUCGAGUUCGCGGUCGAGGGUGCCGUGAUGAGAUGGUGGAUGGGCGACGCCCGAGGCCAAUCACGCGCGACUCUGGCCGGCUCGGACUCCUGGACCCCUUCGGCGUCUCCGGACGCUCUUUGGCGAGACCUCAGGUCAGGCGGGGCUACCCGCUGAGUUUAAGCAUAUCAAUAAGCGGAGGA
This 396-nucleotide unclassified non-coding RNA is filed under the name soil metagenome. Its description in RNAcentral is "partial contains 5.8S ribosomal RNA, internal transcribed spacer 2, and large subunit ribosomal RNA". The stretch from base 1 to 122 matches the Rfam family "5.8S ribosomal RNA", at positions 35 to 154 of the family's 154-position model. The record is from RNAcentral.